UGGCUAAGGUGUCUUGGCUAAUGUAUCUUGGCUAAGGUGUCUUGGCUAAGGUGUCUUGGCUAAUGUGUCUUGGCUAAUGUGUCUUGGCUAAGGUGUCUUGGCUAAUGUGUCUUGGCUAAGGUGUCUUGGCUAAGGUGUCUUGGCUAAGGUGUCUGGGCUAAGGUGUCUUGGCUAAGGUGUCUUGGCUAAUGUGUCUUGGCUAAGGUGUCUUGGCUAAGGUGUCUUGGCUAAGGUGUCUUGGCUAAUGUGUCUUGGCUAAGGUGUCUUGGCUAAGGUGUCUUGGCUAAGGUGUCUUGGCUAAUGUGUCUUGGCUAAUGUGUCUUGGCUAAUGUGUCUUGGCUAAGGUGUCUUGGCUAAGGUGUCUUGGCUAAGGUGUCUUGGCUAAUAUGUCUUGGCUAAUGUGUCUUGGCUAAUGUGUCUUGGCUAAUGUGUCUUGGCUAAGGUGUCUUGGCUAAGGUGUCUUGGCUAAGGUGUCUUGGCUAAGGUGUCUUGGCUAAGGUGUCUUGGCUAAUGUGUCUUGGCUAAGGUGUCUGGGCUAAGGUGUCUUGGCUAAUAUGUCUUGGCUAAGGUGUCUUGGCUAAUGUGUCUUGGCUAAGGUGUCUUGGCUAAGGUGUCUGGGCUAAGGUGUCUUGGCUAAGGUGUCUUGGCUAAUGUGUCUUGGCUAAUGUGUCUUGGCUAAUGUGUCUUGGCUAAGGUGUCUUGGCUAAGGUGUCUUGGCUAAGGUGUCUUGGCUAAGGUGUCUUGGCUAAGGUGUCUUGGCUAAUGUGUCUUGGCUAAUGUGUCUUGGCUAAUGUGUCUUGGCUAAGGUGUCUUGGCUAAGGUGUCUUGGCUAAUGUGUCUUGGCUAAAGUGUCUUGGCUAAGGUGUCUUGGCUAAGGUGUCUUGACUAAGGUGUCUUGGCUAAGGUGUCUUGGCUAAUGUGUCUUGGCUAAUGUGUCUUGGCUAAGGUGUCUUGGCUAAGGUGUCUUGGCUAAGGUGUCUUGGCUAAGGUGUCUUGGCUAAGGUGUCUUGGCUAAUGUGUCUUGGCUAAGGUGUCUUGGCUAAUAUGUCUUGGCUAAGGUGUCUUGGCUAAUGUGUCUUGGCUAAGGUGUCUUGGCUAAGGUGUCUUGGCUAAGGUGUCUUGGCUAAGGUGUCUUGGCUAAUGUGUCUUGGCUAAUGUGUCUUGGCUAAUGUGUCUUGGCUAAGGUGUCUUGGCUAAGGUGUCUUGGCUAAUGUGUCUUGGCUAAAGUGUCUUGGCUUAGGUGUCUUGGCUAAUGUGUCUCGGCUAAGGUGUCUUGGCUAAGGUGUCUUGGCUAAUGUGUCUUGGCUAAGGUGUCUUGGCUAAUGUGUCUUGGCUAAGGUGUCUUGGCUAAGGUGUCUUGGCUAAGGUGUCUUGGCUAAGGUGUCUUGGCUAAGGUGUCUUGGCUAAGGUGUCUUGGCUAAUGUGUCUCGGCUAAUGUGUCUUGGCUAUUGUGUCUUGGCUAAUGUGUCUUGGCUAAUGUGUCUUGGCUAAGGUGUCUUGGCUAAGGUGUCUUGGCUAAGGUGUCUUGGCUAAGGUGUCUUGGCUAAGGUGUCUUGGCUAAUGUGUCUCGGCUAAAGUGUCUUGGCUAAGGUGUCUUGGCUAAGGUGUCUUGGCUAAGGUGUCUUGGCUAAGGUGUCUUGGCUAAUGUGUCUCGGCUAAGGUGUCUUGGCUAUUGUGUCUUGGCUAAGGUGUGUUGGCUAAGGUGUCUUGGCUAAGGUGUCUUGGCUAAUGUGUCUUGGCUAAUGUGUCUUGGCUAAGGUGUCUUGGCUAAGGUGUCUUGGCUAAGGUAUCUUGGCUAAGGUGUCUUGGCUAAGGUGUCUUGGCUAAUGUGUCUUGGCUAAUGUGUCUUGGCUAAUGUGUCUUGGCUAAGGUGUCUUGGCUAAGGUGUCUUGGCUAAGGUGUCUUGGCUAAUGUGUCUUGGCUAAUGUGUCUUGGCUAAUGUGUCUCGGCUAAGGUGUCUUGGUUAAGGUGUCUUGGCUAAGGUGUCUUGGCUAAGGUGUCCCCACUUGGCAGAAAUCGCAUGAGAGGGGGGAAAUUUCUUCAUUCUCGCUACCCCUGACCCUCACUUUCGAGCGAUCGUACGACAAACUCUCACUCCACCACCCUACCUCACUCACACACGCUCCUAUAUUCUAUGUAAACCCUCACCGCAACCUGCGUCACCAACCCACCCCACACCUGAACGGUCCCAUACUCGAAGUGUUAGACAAUUUUGGUUCCACACUUUGAAGCCUGUCGAGGAGUGUGGCACUAUAUUGUUUUUCGCUGUCUCCUUUCUUUCACUGCAAAAUUGCUUUUGCCCUGUCUUUGGCGUAUUCAUAUGAGUUUGGCCUUUGCUGGAGGCGGAGGUGUGUGCGCAAGCGUUAUCGUGUUUUGUGAAGUGAUUCUUUGCUCCGGUAAGUAAUGUGAAAACUAAUGAUUGUGAUUAGUGAAUUAAUUCUAAUCCAUGUGUUUUGUGCGUAGUGAAUCCCAUCGAGUCGAUCAGCUGAUGGAAAGAGUUUGGCCGUGAAGCGGAAAGGGUGCAGCCGGAGUUAAACCGCAGGAUGGCAGGACAAAUCACAUCGGAGAGAGUGCUGAAUAUUCGACGUCUUGAGAGAAACCUCUGCCGAACAUAGGCACCCCAUCCCACCGUCCGCUUCGCAGAACGCCGGCAGUUUUUUUUACCUGUUCUUCCAGCGACCGCUUGCGCAUGAUGAGCAGAGGUGCAAUAAAAAAAGGGAUCGUAUGUAUUUCCUGGUAAUUAUUUCGUUCACUGUCGUGGUGUGUUUGGGACGAGGGUGUCCCGAAUGCAGCAAUAGGAAAGAAAGGGAAAGCGAGAAAGAAAAAAAGCGAAGGAAAGAACGGGACAAAAUAAAGCUAAUUUUUUGGCUUCCAGGCUUAUUAUAAAUAAGCUUGGGAGCUUCCAUGCUUGCAAGCUUGCAUGCUCGUAUGCAAGCGUACAUACGCCCUGCCCCCUAUACUCGA
Anopheles funestus (African malaria mosquito) is the source of this 2964-nucleotide long non-coding RNA. RefSeq lists it as uncharacterized. NCBI's taxonomy places the organism in Eukaryota, Metazoa, Arthropoda, Insecta, Diptera, Culicidae. The record is from RefSeq and is a predicted model, not a curated record. The transcript is spliced from 4 exons.